Molecule: long non-coding RNA, 4878 nt
Organism: Gopherus evgoodei (Goodes thornscrub tortoise)
Lineage: Eukaryota; Metazoa; Chordata; Testudines; Testudinidae
Exons: 3
Source: RefSeq, a predicted model, not a curated record
GUUUAUAGUUGUAAAGUAAAAACCAUUAGCUUGUUACAUUCUAGGAAGAACAAAAAAACCUAAAGACAGAGUACUUUGCUAAAUACAAUAUUUUGAAUGCUUCAGAUUCUCUGCCAUCCCUGAAUUGUAUUUGAAGAGCUUCAGUACUACAGAAAAUAUACCUGAAGCACAGACCCAUUUAUUUUUCAUAAUUUCUCAUGCUAUAUUUGAAACCAAUCAUUAACUACUGCUGUCUCUAACUUCUCUUAUCAUGAAAAGGUUUGGCAUAGCCAGGACAGCUAACAAGGGUCAAGGAACAUUAAGCCAGUCUGCCUUUUGAUCUGGUAUAGCAUAGACCUUGCAGUUUUGCUGGUGGAGCUACUCCUAGCAAUAAGUUCAGACUAACAUGUCAGCAGGUUUGGACACCACUGACCACAAGGUUUUGUUGGGCCAGUCCUGCCGACUGACAAGACUAGACAGAAUCAUGCUUCAGAGAAUCGCACUUCUUGGGAGAUCCCAGAACAUCAUUUUGGGUAAUCACAGGAUUCUACUUUGUUACCCCUUUUUUAAAAAAUGUGUACAGGAGAGCGAGGGAGAGAGUUUGGGCUGUGUAGUCAUCAAUAUGCACGUAACAUGCAGCUCUGAUGUCAGACCCGGAUGAUGUGGUUCGUUAACUGGCCAAGAAAGGCACAGAUGAGAUCAAGCUGGCUAAAUGUCAAUCAGGUUGAAGACUGACAAUGCUGGUAUGUCCCAGGAGGCAUAUGAAGUAGGACAGAUUGACAAUAAACAAGCAUACACAGGGAAGAUAAAGUUCAUAAUCUGAAAGGCUUCUAUAUCUCAUCGUUUGUAGAUUCCCCAGAAUGAGACAGGUGGUGGCCAAAAGCCCCUUUUUAUCAACAUUCAGCUACACUUCCCACAAUCUUUAAGAUGCAGACCAUGCCACAAUCCAGUCUGGUACAGCUAACUGUUACAAUACGCUCCACAUGUGACUACCAUUGAAGGGCACUUGGAAGCCAUAGCUAGUGCAUUGCUCACCAUGUGGUGUUAGCUGCAGAGAGCUCAUCAUAUUAGUUUCUGGUUGUAAUUAAAGGUGUUUAUAUAAGUGUGGUUUGGGUCAUGGCCAUCUGAGAAGCUGUUUUUUUCCUCACAAUGUGCCACAAUGGUAGAGAUUAAUUGAGGCAUUUUAUGAACAAGUUUUCAAUGUCCUAAAGUUUGUUAGGCCAUUUUAUGGUGAAAGGUCCUCAAGAUCUGCACUUUGCUUCUCCUGUUGGCCUGAAGCACAACGCUUUUGAUCAUUAGGAUUUGGCAUAGAAUAGAUUUACUUCAUUUUGUACUUUGUAAAAAGAAAUCUGAACUAUGAAAGGGGGAAGAGUUAACUUGGAGACAUGAGGAGUCAGAACUAACUUCAGCAGCAUAUUAUGUAUUUGUUUUUAGAUUAUAGGAGUGCGUUCAAUGAACAUCUGAUAGGCACAGUCUCUAAAUUUACGUUAUUAGAUUAUAUGAGAGCAAGGGCUUACUCCUCCUUUCAACUUGAUCCUGCAGUAGAAGUCAUAAUGUUGACAGAGCUGUCUCCAUAGCAACAGUGUGUCUCACUUCACUGCAGGAUCUAGCAGGGGAAUCUUGGUAGAAGGAGAAAGCACUUAACUGAAUAUCAAGAUAAUAUACGAAAACAAGAAAAGGAAAAAAUUUAAUUUGGGCUCUCAGACUGAAGAACUUUUAAAAUAAGGUUUCCUAAAACAAGAAAUCACCACUUAAUAGUCAUAAAAGAAUUACAUUAACCCAUCUCUUGGUAUGUCUCAAUAGUCUUGUCUAGGAACUCCACAAAUUAUGUUCAGUUUACACAAGCCAAAUGUUGAGGCAGUUAAAACAGUUUUGGAUAGUGCUGAGAAUGAGGAUUUAACUGUGACCCUGGGGCAAUAAGUAGUAUGGGGAAAGAUUAUAUGAUGUAUUCACUAUGUUUAAGAGUGAUCUGUUGGAAAUCUAUAUAAAAGGUAUACUACCUUCUGGAAAGCAAGGAAUGGAGAAGGAAGCCAGUAAGAGUAUUAGGAUUCUUCCUGAAUUCUUUUUGUAUUUCAAAAAUGCUACAGAUUAUAGUACAACAGGAGGAGAUUCUGCUACUUAAGUACAAAUGGCCAAUCUGAAGAUUAAAUGCUGAAGACUGGAAAGCAAUGAGGGAACUGUGAGAUUUAACAGGUUUACAUCUGUAUCAAAGCUGACCACAACAUGCCAACUGCCCAAGAAUUGCAUGGGGAUAUACAUUCUAGAGAUUUUCCAGAAGAAAGAUAAGUCACUUAGGCAGCGCAGGUCCACGUGAGAACCUAAAAUUCUGAGACCACCAAGGGCUUAACAAAAGACCUGAAGAAAAUAAUUUCAAUUUGGAUUUAAGAUCGUGAUAUCACUGUGGCAAACUACAUUGUGCGCACUAAAGGUCUACUUGAAAAGGAUGUUCAUACUGUUACAUCAUCCUCCUGCUCUCCACUCCUACCCACUUAUUUUAUCCACCUAUUGAAUGUUUUCAUUAACUAAAGUUAAUAAGCUCCUGAGUGCAGGGAUUUACCAUUUACAACAUGUUUGCAUAAUACCUUGCAGAGUCCCGACUGGGGCCUCACGGCAGGACAGUAAUAAAAUAAGUUUGGUAUCCCUGUAUACAUUUAAGAGGUUUUUAGUAAUGCUGCACAUUACUUUUCAAUUGUGCUUCAGUUUCUCUUUUCUAUUUUUUUGGAUAUAGCCCUUUACUAAGCAUUAGUUUAAAGUGUCUUUUCCUCUUGGUUGCAGAAAGAUUGCUUUGUUUGAAUGAACAGUAAUAUACAGAAGGGGUUGGGGCUGGAAUCACAAACAUAUCUGCCUGAUAGCACAUUACCAGUUCUAAAAGAAGCCAGGGACAAACCUUAAGAGAUGGUAAACACUAAAAGCAUGGCUCAGAAUUUGGUGACAGCAAAAUCUUUAUUUACUUUACCUUCAACUGAAAAGAUUCAACCUACAUUGCGUAACUAGCUGAUGGGAGGGUGGGCCGGAAAAAUCAGAAAACGACAGCAACAAUACAUUUUAGUGCCAAAAUUAAAAUUAAGACAAUUAGCCAAAGGAUUAAGAAAAAAGGUUAAUCAAGCUAAUAAGUGGUUCCAGAAGACCAACAAGCUGGUAGGUGAGACAAUCAACACCAUCAGUUUUGCAAACAAAACUGAGAAAUAUAUUGAAUGAAAUGCUAAUGAGGAUCUGUCUAAACCUAUAGAUUAGCUAUAUAGAGCUAUUAAAAUGGUAGCCAGAUAAACAUAUCAGCAAACUAGAUGAUGGAAAUUGGAGGUUUCCUAAAGAAAUGAGGAUAAGAAGGAAAUAUAGAACGAAUAGUGGUAAUUAACUGUGAAUUUAUUAGGUGCCAGAGAACUGAAAAAGGAUAGAUUUAAUACCAAGAGUAAGUAGCAGAUCCAGGAAAUAAAUCUAAUCUCAGUAAGAGGUAAAAAUAGAGGAAUAUAUCUGUAAAUAUUACUAGCUACUAUUCAAAAAAUGCUUUAACAAGUUCCUAAACCAAUUGUGCAGACAAGCCCCAUAGAAGUCUUCCAGGUAAUUAUAAAAAUGUGAAUAUAAAGACAAUUGGGACCAGUACUGUUUUCAUAGUUUAAUAUAUUAAUUACAUCCUGGAACAUGUUCAUACUACAGCAUGCAUAUAACUUAAUAGUGUGCACACUAUGUCAGGAGAGGCUGCAAACAAAAAGAAGCUAGAAAGAAAUCUAGACAAUUCAAAAAUAUGGACAAAUAGAACUAAGAUAAGGUUACACUUAGAUAAAUACAAGAUAAACUAUGCUGCCUGGCACCAAUAUAAAAAUGAAAGCCAAACAGUAAGAUGGACAAGAAUCUAGUGAGGAUGGCAGAAAAGGUAUAUACAAGCUUGCAGUGCAGUACUAUUAAAAGCCUCCCAGGUUAUUAAAUGCAAGACCAGGAAAGUUAACUAUAGUUCUACAGCCUCACAAAUGCUACACUCAAUUUCUGGGGUCUUUUUCCUAAAAGGAUCAGUUCUAAUAAACUGAGAAGGGAGGGAAUGACUAAAUAGUUAGAGCUUUCAGAUGACGCUUGAAACGGAGUGCCUGACUGCAAGUGGUUAUUAAAAGGCAGCUGGAAUCACUGAACUCUAAGAAGUCAAAAUUAACUACUUAAGUCCAGGAAGGUUAAAGCUAUUUUGAGGCCCCUGUUAAGUUGCCUGACCAGGAGGCCUCUAUUGCUACUGCAUUACCUGCCAACAGACUGCAACUCUGGAAGGCAGAGCCUCCAAGAGGAAGGGAGGCAUUAGGCACACAGGAUCACCAAAACAAGUCAUUUAAAAACAGACUAAAACUAGUAUUCUAUUCAACUAACCCCUGCUUCUGAACAGCAAAGGUCAUAAAGGUACUGUACCAGUCUGACUUUGUCCAAGAAUGUAGGUGUUAGCAGAUGUUCUGAAUAAAUUCAAUCCCUAAUUAUAUAUUCUGCCUCUAUUAGAUAUGAUAUUUAGUCACUCUUCUGAAGUGUGGGCUCAUUGUGCUGCUAUCUUCCACCAGAGGUAGUCACAGUGAGACCCAUAUAUUUAAUACAUAUUUAGUUUGCACACAGCUUUGAGAAUUCUCAGGAUGAGAGUCAUAGUAUCUUACAUCAAUGUAAAUAUGAUAGUGUGCCUUUCACAGAACCUUUGCAUAUACUGCUUUCUUCCAGAUUGCUGUGGACUUCUCCUACAUCUAAACUUCCAUUGAGGAGGAAAGUUUCUAGUCUUCCUGUCUGCAAUGAAAGCCUUAACAGGCACUUGGAAUGCCAAGAUGACCUACAUGCUUUUGAGAGACACACAAGGGGAAGCUUGAGUCCAUAAGACAGAUGUUCAGUCCCACAUAAACCAUGGACUAAUUCUGAAAGAACUCUUUGCAACUACAAAGCUCA